UACGAAGGGUGCAAGCGUUACUCGGAAUCACUGGGCGUAAAGCGUGCGUAGGCGGUUUCUUAAGUCUGUCGUGAAAGCCCUGGGCUCAACCUGGGAAUGGCGAUGGAUACUGGGAGGCUAGAGUGUGAUAGAGGAUGGUGGAAUUCCCGGUGUAGCGGUGAAAUGCGCAGAUAUCAGGAGGAACACCCGGUGGCGAAGGCGGGGUCUCUGGGCCGAUACUGACGCUGAGGAGCGAAAGCGUGGGGAGCGAACAGG
Molecule: ribosomal RNA, 255 nt
Filed under: uncultured bacterium
Lineage: Bacteria
Description: partial 16S ribosomal RNA
Rfam family: Bacterial small subunit ribosomal RNA
Source: RNAcentral